Molecule: long non-coding RNA, 1067 nt
Filed under: Olea europaea subsp. europaea
Lineage: Eukaryota; Viridiplantae; Streptophyta; Magnoliopsida; Lamiales; Oleaceae
Source: RNAcentral
GGUUUCUCUAAUUCUAGAUUCCAAUUGCAAGCAUGGGAAUGCCAGGUAACACACAAGAAAUUUAAAAAAUUUAAUAAAUACUGAAGCAUAUUUACACAAUAAAUGUCACUUAGACCAAUAUAAUGAUAGACCAGUCAUGGCAGUCAAGAUGGAAAAGUAGACAGCAAAAGCAAGAAAAAAACUAACUUUCAAGCCAAAAAAUGUUACCAUGAAGAGGAAGCAAGCCAGAAUGAAGGUUAUAGGCUUGUAGCAGCUAAACAUAUGCUGGUAAAGACUUAAAACUAAUACACUAAGCACAUUAUAGAACACCCAAUCCUACACAGACUGACGCGCUAAAAAUCCAUGUCUUUCCAGUGUUAUAAAAAAACAAGAGCAGACAAUUAAAGUUCAAGCAUGUUUAGCAACUCAUAGCCUCUGUGUUUAGUAUGUGUCCCAAGUAUAUAAGGUGUAUAAGGUGCAAGUUUUCGGUAUGUAUCCUUAGUGUCCAAUGCGAUUUAUCAGUGAAGAAACCAACUAACCUUGUCAAUAACAUAGCCUAUGCUGCUACCUCUAAAUAAAUUUCUCCUCUAUAAUUUUCAUUGCUAAAGGAGCAGAGCAAGUGCGAAUAGUUUCAGUAGUUGAUCGUGUCCCAAUUUUGCGAGCCAUAAGUAGAGAAGUGUUGGGGGAUUGACAUGUAUGAAAUAGGGGAGAGUUGACCUAUUGGAGAUCAGGCCAUUUUAGUGUGGGCCAUCUGUGAAGAAUUCUCCAUUUUAAUACAGAAGGUAUGAUUAUACUAAGCUUUAAACUAUGAACUCAAUAGGCAUACAUAUUCAUUUGUCUCACACAUGUACUGAACAUAAGCCAGAGACGCAUAUUAGAAAAACUUCAUCUGAGAUACCUUACUAUAGCUGUUGUAUGAGUUAUUAAUUUGAACUUUUCCAAGGCACUGCAAAAUGUUUAUAUCGAAUAUUAUUGAAACUAGUAAAUGGGGAAGAGUGCUUGAGUUUCUUAAACAAGGAGAAAUUUGCAAUUCUUGACAUCUAGUAUAAGCCUAGUACAGAAGCAGGGAUGCAGUUCCAUAAUGCUAA